RNAcentral lists this transfer RNA (66 nucleotides) under Nymphes myrmeleonoides. Its description in RNAcentral is "tRNA-Asp". The record is from RNAcentral. Lineage: Eukaryota; Metazoa; Arthropoda; Insecta; Neuroptera; Nymphidae.
AAAAAGUUAGUUAAUUUAUAACAUAAAUAUGUCAUAUUUAAAUUAUUAGUAAUCUAAUACUUUUUG